This 447-nucleotide ribosomal RNA is filed under the name uncultured bacterium. Its description in RNAcentral is "bacterial SSU rRNA". It matches the Rfam family "Bacterial small subunit ribosomal RNA", at positions 355 to 822 of the family's 1533-position model. The record is from RNAcentral.
UCGGGAAACUUCCACAAUGGGCGAAAGCCUGAUGGAGCGACGUCGCGUGAUGGACGAAGUGCUUCGGCACGUAAACAUCUUUUAUGUGGGAUGAAAUUAUUGACAGUACCACAUGAAUAAGGGGCUCCUAACUCUGUGCCAGCAGGAGCGGUAAUACAGAGGCCCCAAGCGUUAUCCGGAAUCACUGGGCGUAAAGGGUGUCGAGGCGGUUGUAUUAGUCGUUCGUAAAAUCUACGAGCUUAACUUGUAGGCGGCGAACGAAACGGUACGACUUGAGGUUUGGAGAGGUGCGUGGAACUCACGGUGUAGGGGUGAAAUCCGUUGAUAUCGUGGGGAACACCAAAGGCGAAGGCAGCGCACUGGCCAAAAUCUGACGCUCACACACGAAAGCUAGGGUAGCGAAGAGGAUUAGAUACCCUUGUAGUCCCUGAGCGGGCUGGCAAGGCG